CCUACGGGAGGCAGCAGUGAGGAAUAUUGGUCAAUGGGCGCGAGCCUGAACCAGCCAAGUCGCGUGAAGGAUGACUGCCCUACGGGUUGUAAACUUCUUUUAUAAAGGAAUAAAGUGAGGCCCGUGUGCCUUUUUGUAUGUCCUUUAUGAAUAAGGAUCGGCUAACUCCGUGCCAGCAGCCGCGGUAAUACGGAGGGUCCGAGCGUUAUCCGGAUUUAUUGGGUUUAAGGGGAGCGUAGAUGGGUUGUUAAGUCAGUUGUGAAAGUUUGCGGCUCAACCGUAAAAUUGCAAUUGAUACUGGCAGCCUUGAGUACAGAUGAGGUAGGCGGAAUUCGUGGUGUAGCGGUGAAAUGCUUAGAUAUCACGAAGAACUCCGAUUGCGAAGGCAGCUUACUAAACUGCCACUGACAUUGAUGCUCGAAAGUGUGGGUAUCAAACAGGAUUAGAUACCCUAGUAGUC
Molecule: ribosomal RNA, 460 nt
Filed under: uncultured bacterium
Lineage: Bacteria
Description: partial 16S ribosomal RNA
Rfam family: Bacterial small subunit ribosomal RNA
Source: RNAcentral